This 547-nucleotide ribosomal RNA is filed under the name uncultured bacterium. RNAcentral describes it as "bacterial SSU rRNA". It matches the Rfam family "Bacterial small subunit ribosomal RNA", at positions 355 to 895 of the family's 1533-position model. The record is from RNAcentral.
UAGGGAAUCUUCCACAAUGGGCGCAAGCCUGAUGGAGCAACACCGCGUGAGUGAAGAAGGGUUUCGGCUCGUAAAGCUCUGUUGUUAAAGAAGAACACGUAUGAGAGUAACUGUUCAUACGUUGACGGUAUUUAACCAGAAAGUCACGGCUAACUACGUGCCAGCAGCCGCGGUAAUACGUAGGUGGCAAGCGUUAUCCGGAUUUAUUGGGCGUAAAGAGAGUGCAGGCGGCUUUCUAAGUCUGAUGUGAAAGCCUUCGGCUUAACCGGAGAAGUGCAUCGGAAACUGGAUAACUUGAGUGCAGAAGAGGGUAGUGGAACUCCAUGUGUAGCGGUGGAAUGCGUAGAUAUAUGGAAGAACACCAGUGGCGAAGGCGGCUACCUGGUCUGCAACUGACGCUGAGACUCGAAAGCAUGGGUAGCGAACAGGAUUAGAUACCCUGGUAGUCCAUGCCGUAACGAUGAGUGCUAGGUGUUGGAGGGUUUCCGCCCUUCAGUGCCGGAGCUAACGCAUUANCACUCCGCCUGGGGAGUACGACCGCAAGGUU